GAUGAACGCUAGCGGCAGGCUUAACACAUGCAAGUCGAGGGGUAUAGGUUUUCGGACCUAGAGACCGGCGCACGGGUGCGUAACGCGUAUGCAAUCUACCUUUUACAGAGGGAUAGCCCAGAGAAAUUUGGAUUAAUACCUCAUAGUAUAAUGAUUCGGCAUCGAGACAUUAUUAAAGUUCCAACGGUAAAAGAUGAGCAUGCGUCCCAUUAGCUAGAUGGUAAGGUAACGGCUUACCAUGGCGACGAUGGGUAGGGGUCCUGAGAGGGAGAGCCCCCACACUGGUACUGAGACACGGACCAGACUCCUACGGGAGGAAGCAGUGAGGAAUAUUGGUCAAUGGGCGCAAGCCUGAACCAGCCAUGCCGCGUGCAGGAUGACGGUCCUAUGGAUUGUAAACUGCUUUUGUACAGGAAGAAACACUGGUUCGUGAACCAGCUUGACGGUACUGUAAGAAUAAGGAUCGGCUAACUCCGUGCCAGCAGCCGCAGUAA
RNAcentral lists this ribosomal RNA (494 nucleotides) under uncultured bacterium. Its description in RNAcentral is "partial 16S ribosomal RNA". It matches the Rfam family "Bacterial small subunit ribosomal RNA", at positions 28 to 523 of the family's 1533-position model. The record is from RNAcentral.